CCUGACCUCGAUCGAGCGGAUCUAGGUGUUUUG
Molecule: ribosomal RNA, 33 nt
Filed under: Gyrodactylus kobayashii
Lineage: Eukaryota; Metazoa; Platyhelminthes; Monogenea; Gyrodactylidea; Gyrodactylidae
Description: partial 28S ribosomal RNA
Source: RNAcentral